Molecule: ribosomal RNA, 510 nt
Filed under: uncultured bacterium
Lineage: Bacteria
Description: partial 16S ribosomal RNA
Rfam family: Bacterial small subunit ribosomal RNA
Source: RNAcentral
GACGAACGCUGGCGGCGUGCUUAACACAUGCAAGUCGAACGAAGAGCGAUGGAAGCUUGCUUCUAUCAAUCUUAGUGGCGAACGGGUGAGUAACGCGUAAUCAACCUGCCCUUCAGAGGGGGACAACAGUUGGAAACGACUGCUAAUACCGCAUACGAUCUAAACUCGGCAUCGAGGAUAGAUGAAAGGUGGCCUCUACAUGUAAGCUAUCACUGAAGGAGGGGAUUGCGUCUGAUUAGCUAGUUGGAGGGGUAACGGCCCACCAAGGCGAUGAUCAGUAGCCGGUCUGAGAGGACGAACGGCCACAUUGGGACUGAGACACGGCCCAGACUCCUACGGGAGGCAGCAGUGGGGAAUCUUCCGCAAUGGACGAAAGUCUGACGGAGCAACGCCGCGUGAGUGAUGACGGCCUUCGGGUUGUAAAGCUCUGUUAAUCGGGACGAAAGGCCUUCUUGCGAAUAGUGAGAAGGAUUGACGGUACCGGAAUAGAAAGCCACGGCUAACUACGUG